Molecule: ribosomal RNA, 930 nt
Filed under: uncultured archaeon
Lineage: Archaea
Description: bacterial SSU rRNA
Rfam family: Archaeal small subunit ribosomal RNA
Source: RNAcentral
UUCCGGUUGAUCCUGCCGGAGGUCACUGCUAUUGGGAUUCGGCUAAGCCAUGCAAGCGGAGGGCGCGGUCGAAAGAUCGUGGCCCCGCACACUGCUCAGUAACACGUAGUCAAUCUACCCUUGGGACGGGGACAACCUCGGGAAACUGAGGCUAAUCCCCGAUAGGUGAGGGACGCUGGAAUGCCUCCUCGCCCAAAGCUCCGGCGCCCAAGGAUGGGACUGCGGUCUAUCAGGCUGUUGGUGGUGUAACGGACCACCAAACCUACGACGGGUACGGGCGAUGGGAGUCGGAGCCCGGAGAUGGGGACUGAGACAAGGCCCCAGGCCCUACGGGGCGCAGCAGGCGCGAAAACUCCGCAAUGCGCGCAAGCGUGACGGGGGAAUCCCAAGUGCCGUUGGUCUUAUGAUCGACGGUUUUUAGGAAGUCUAAGAAGCUUCCAGAAUAAGGGCUGGGCAAGACUGGUGCCAGCCGCUGCGGUAACACCAGCAGCCCAAGUGGUGACCACGAUUAUUGGGCCUAAAGCGCUCGUAGCCGGAUCAGCAAGUCCCUUGUGAAAUCGGGCCGCCUAACGGUUCGGCGUGCAAGGGAUACUGUUGGUCUUGAGGCCGGGAGAGGUCGGAGGUACUCCUGGGGUAGCGGUGAAAUGCUCUAAUCCUAGGGGGACCACCAGUGGCGAAGGCGUCCGACCAGAACGGACCUGACGGUGAGGGGCGAAGGCUAGGGGAGCGAACGGGAUUAGAUACCCCGGUAGUCCUAGCUGUAAAGCAUGCGGGCCAGGUGUCUAGCGCUCCUUGAGGGCGCUAGGUGCCGGAGGGAAGCCGUUAAGCCCGCCGCCUGGGAAGUACGGCCGCAAGGCUGAAACUUAAAGAAAUUGGCGGGGGAGCACCACAAGAGGUGGGACCUGCGGUUCAAUUGGACUCAACGCCGGA